UACGUAGGUGGCGAGCGUUAUCCGGAAUUACUGGGCGUAAAGCGUACGCAGGCGGCUUCUUAAGUCUGACGUGAAAGCUCCCGGCUUAACUGGGAGAGGUCGUUGGAGACUGGGGGGCUCGAGGCGAUGAGAGGGGUGUAGAAUUCCCGGUGUAGUGGUGGAAUGCGUAGAUAUCGGGAGGAAUACCAGUGGCGAAAGCGACACCCUGGCAUAGGCCUGACGCUCAUGUACGAAAGCGUGGGGAGCAAACGGG
Molecule: ribosomal RNA, 253 nt
Filed under: uncultured bacterium
Lineage: Bacteria
Description: partial 16S ribosomal RNA
Rfam family: Bacterial small subunit ribosomal RNA
Source: RNAcentral